CCUACGGGAGGCAGCAGUGAGGAAUAUUGGUCAAUGGGCGGGAGCCUGAACCAGCCAAGCCGCGUGAGGGAAGAAGGUCUAGCGUAUCGUAAACCUCUUUUUUCAGGGAACAAAGGCGGGGACUAGUCCCCGGAUGAGGUUACCUGAAGAAAAAGCAUAGGAUAACUCCGUGCCAGCAGCCGCGGUAAUCCGGAGGAUGAGAGUGUUAUCCGGAUUUAUUGGGUUUAAAGGGUGCGCAGGCGGCCUGUUAAGUCAGCGGUAAAAGCCCGGGGCUCAACCCCGGCGAGCCGUGGAAACUGGCGGGCUGGAGUUGGAGAGAGGUACGCGGAAUGCGCGGUGUAGCGGUGAAAUGCGUAGAUAUCGCGCAGAACCCCGAUUGCGAAGGCAGCGUACCGGCUCCACACUGACGCUGAGGCACGAAAGCGUGGGUAUCGAACAGGAUUAGAUACCCUUGUAGUC
RNAcentral lists this ribosomal RNA (459 nucleotides) under uncultured bacterium. Its description in RNAcentral is "partial 16S ribosomal RNA". It matches the Rfam family "Bacterial small subunit ribosomal RNA", at positions 338 to 795 of the family's 1533-position model. The record is from RNAcentral.